UUGGAGGGGCAAGGUGUGUAGCAAUGAAACAUAAUACAUUUUGUUAGAUCAUAUUAUUCUUCUCUCCCACUUUCCCAAAAGAGUGUGCCUUUACGCUGAAUUGUCAUUUGCUACUCUCUUCAGAUCUCACACACUUGAGAGACUUUCUUGCUGCAUGAAUCCCUGGGAAACAUCACCUCAUUCUAGCUGCAGUGGCACUAUUGUUACAGUGACAAUGUAGCAGCCAGCUGUGGAGGUUGAGGUCACAAUCCUUCACUUCUGGAAGCCUGAGAAGGAACUUGCUGAUGUGGGAGGUUACACCAGCAGCAGGUCUUGUACCACCACUGGGCACAAAGCUUGGCAGGCAGCAUCAACCCAUAUUCAUGCCUGUCCAUGUUAUACAACACACAGCAGAGUGACCUCAAUUUGCCACAAAAAAUAGCAAUAAAAUCCGAUAGAGAGAUUUCUGAAGAAUUUAGAGGGAUGAUGAGAAGAAUGGUCAGGCACUCCAUGCAGGAAGUGAGUAGUACAUGAAAAAACAAGAAGCUCAUGGCUGAAGAUAGCACAGGUUUCAUGACUUACACCCCAAUGUAUCUGGGCUGCAGUGCCAGCCAGCAGGAGAAUAUUCACUGCUGGCAUAGUGACAGCUUAAGAAUGAUUUCUGUGACAGAUGGGCACUGCAGCAUCCAAGGGUUGCAAUCAUGGCAGUGCCUUUAUCAAACUGGUCUCUACUGGGAAACCACCUCCCUUUCACGUGAAAAAGAGCAUUGAGCCAUGGUAAAGAAGUGCUGCUAGUGGAUUGGGAGCUAGAUGCUUUGAAGGACUCAGAAGUAAUGCCAGCAGCACAAUUCUAGUAAGUUAAGAUCAUGACAAGAAGAAAGGAAGCUGCUCAGUAACUGAAGUCGUGUACUGACUACAUUGUCAGGAGUUUUUCCUGCAAAUUUUCCUGCAAUGUACUUUUCUUCAAAAGGUGCCAAUAAUCUUUUCUUUGCUACAAGGUGGAGUAGCAAGCAUUGCUCAAGUACAAUUAGUGCCCAAACCCCUGUCUGGA
Vidua chalybeata is the source of this 1030-nucleotide long non-coding RNA. RefSeq lists it as uncharacterized. Lineage: Eukaryota; Metazoa; Chordata; Aves; Passeriformes; Viduidae. The transcript is spliced from 4 exons. The record is from RefSeq and is a predicted model, not a curated record.